RNAcentral lists this ribosomal RNA (465 nucleotides) under uncultured bacterium. RNAcentral describes it as "partial 16S ribosomal RNA". It matches the Rfam family "Bacterial small subunit ribosomal RNA", at positions 28 to 507 of the family's 1533-position model. The record is from RNAcentral.
GACGAACGCUGGCGGCGUGCUUAACACAUGCGAGUCGAACGGAAAGGCCCUGCUUGCCGGGUACUCGAGUGGCGAACGGGUGAGUAGCACGUGGGUGAUCUGCCCUGCACUUCGGGAUAAGCCUGGGAAACUGGGUCUAAUACCGGAUAGGAGCCAUUUUUAGUGUGAUGGUUGGAAAGUUUUUUCGGUGUAGGAUGAGCUCGCGGCCUAUCAGCUUGUUGGUGGGGUAAUGGCCUACCAAGGCGGCGACGGGUAGCCGGCCUGAGAGGGUGGACGGCCACAUUGGGACUGAGAUACGGCCCAGACUCCUACGGGAGGCAGCAGUGGGGAAUAUUGCACAAUGGGCGCAAGCCUGAUGCAGCGACGCCGCGUGGGGGAUGACGGCCUUCGGGUUGUAAACGCCUUUCGCUAGGGACGAAGCUUUUUGUGACGGUACCUAGAGAAGAAGCACCGGCUAACUACGUG